GCGGCUUCCUCCUCACGUAUUGGCAACGUCGAUUCCGACUUCGUCGUCAUACUCGCCGCUCUCCUUUGCGCCCUUAUUUGCGUCCUCGGUCUCGUUGCCGUUGCUCGUUGCGCCUGGAUCCGACGGAUCUCCGCUAGAGCCACCGGAAAUUCAGCCUUUUCAUCACCUCCGGCUAAUAAAGGUUUGAAAAAGAAGAUCCUUAUAAUAAAUCAUGAUUUAAGACACCUUCUCCGGCGGCUUCCUCCUCACGUAUUGGCAACGUCGAUUCCGACUUCGUCGUCAUCCUCGCCGCUCUCCUUUGCGCCCUUAUUUGCGUCCUCGGUCUCGUUGCCGUUGCUCGUUGCGCCUGGAUCCGACGGAUCUCCGCUAGAGCCACCGGAAAUUCAGCCUUUUCAUCACCUCCGGCUAAUAAAGGUUUGAAAAAGAAGGUCCUUAAGUCUCUUCCGAAGCUCAGUUACACGACCGAACACGCCGCGAAAUUUUCUGAAUGUGCCAUUUGCCUGGCGGAAUUCGCCGUCGGAGAUGAGAUUCGAGUGCU
RNAcentral lists this long non-coding RNA (538 nucleotides) under Nicotiana benthamiana. RNAcentral describes it as "long non-coding RNA (NBEN_LNC012739)". Lineage: Eukaryota; Viridiplantae; Streptophyta; Magnoliopsida; Solanales; Solanaceae. The record is from RNAcentral.